This 93-nucleotide transfer RNA is filed under the name Dilophotes sp. AS LB-2014. Its description in RNAcentral is "tRNA-Glu". Lineage: Eukaryota; Metazoa; Arthropoda; Insecta; Coleoptera; Lycidae. The record is from RNAcentral.
GAUUGGGGUAAAUUUACCCCAAUCAAGGAGAAAUAUUUAUAUAGUUUAAAUAAAACUCUACAUUUUCAUUGUAAAAUUAAAUCAUUUUUGUAA